UGAUGGCUUCACACACCUCUACACUCUAAUUUUAAGACCAGAUCUUUCUUAUGAUGUGAAAAUUGAUGGUCAGUCAAUUGAAUCCGGCAGCAUAGAGUACGACUGGAACUUAACAUCACUCAAGAAGGAAACGUCCCCGGCAGAAUCGAAGGAUUGGGAACAGACUAAAGACAACAAAGCCCAGGUGUGAAUUUUUCCUGGGCAACUCUAAAAAGUGCACAAAUGUAGUUUGUAAGUACCCAGUUACUGGACAAUUGCUGCAUGGCUGGUAGCCACGAUGGCAAUAUUAUAGAACCAAAUGCCCUCCCCAGAGCACACACUGCAGACCAGCCACAUCUCUACACAUCUGAAGGACUGGGAGAAGCAUUUUCUGGACGCCAGCACCAGCAAGCAGAGCGACUGGAACGGUGAGCUGGAUGGGGACUGGCCAGCGCCGAUGCUCCAGAAGCCCCCGUACCAGGAUGGCCUGAAACCCGAAGGUAUUCAUAAAGACGUCUGGCUCCACCGUAAGAUGAAGAAUACUGACUAUUUGACGCAGUAUGACCUCUCAGAAUUUGAGAACAUUGGUGCCAUUGGCCUGGAGCUUUG
This 588-nucleotide small RNA is filed under the name Pan troglodytes (chimpanzee). RNAcentral's name for it is "processed transcript". Lineage: Eukaryota; Metazoa; Chordata; Mammalia; Primates; Hominidae. The record is from RNAcentral.